GUCAGUUCCUGCUUAACCCUCAAAGUGAAGUGUCGUCUCAUUAUUGGGGGAGGAUUUAUUGUAUGCUGUUCCAGUUUGACUGCUAGGAGUGUAAACCUAUUCGCAUGGUUUUUCCUAUUCGGCUGUAUACAACAUUCAUAUGCUUGAGAGCAUUCAUAUGCUUCUCCAGUUCGUGGUUGUGGUGUCUGCUGCAGUGCUUGGAGUCCUCAGGAAGCGCUAGGAGCAUCCUUCAACGGAGGUACCCAGUCGGGGUGCCAGGUGAUCCGUUACAAGGGCCCACAAAGGU
Non-coding RNA from Pelobates cultripes (western spadefoot toad), 286 nucleotides. NCBI's taxonomy places the organism in Eukaryota, Metazoa, Chordata, Amphibia, Anura, Pelobatidae. The record is from the annotation of a GenBank genome assembly.